Molecule: ribosomal RNA, 497 nt
Filed under: uncultured bacterium
Lineage: Bacteria
Description: partial 16S ribosomal RNA
Rfam family: Bacterial small subunit ribosomal RNA
Source: RNAcentral
GAUGAACGCUGGCGGCGUGCCUAAUACAUGCAAGUCGAGCGAACAGACGAGGAGCUUGCUCCUCUGACGUUAGCGGCGGACGGGUGAGUAACACAUGGAUAACCUACCUAUAAGACUGGGAUAACUUCGGGAAACCGGAGCUAAUACCGGAUAAUAUAUUGAACCGCAUGGUUCAAUAGUGAAAGACGGUUUCGCUGUCACUUAUAGAUGGAUCCGCGCCGCAUUAGCUAGUUGGUAAGGUAACGGCUUACCAAGGCAACGAUGCGUAGCCGACCUGAGAGGGUGAUCGGCCACACUGGAACUGAGACACGGUCCAGACUCCUACGGGAGGCAGCAGUAGGGAAUCUUCCGCAAUGGGCGAAAGCCUGACGGAGCAACGCCGCGUGAGUGAUGAAGGUCUUCGGAUCGUAAAACUCUGUUAUUAGGGAAGAACAAAUGUGUAAGUAACUAUGCACGUCUUGACGGUACCUAAUCAGAAAGCCACGGCUAACUACGUG